Molecule: transfer RNA, 71 nt
Filed under: Camelus bactrianus (Bactrian camel)
Lineage: Eukaryota; Metazoa; Chordata; Mammalia; Artiodactyla; Camelidae
Also listed under: 2 other names
Rfam family: tRNA
About the family: Transfer RNA (tRNA) molecules are approximately 80 nucleotides in length. Their secondary structure includes four short double-helical elements and three loops (D, anti-codon, and T loops).
Source: Rfam by way of RNAcentral
GGGGGUAUAGCUCAGUGGUAGAGUGGAGGUUAGCACGCAUGAGGUCCUGGGUUCAAUCCCCAGUACCUCCA